AUGAAGCAGAAUGACUGCGGGGGAGUGUGUCCUCAGUUCUCACAUGAACAUGUUUACAAUGGCAAGCAGAGGGAAAAUCUUGUGAGUGGUCGUGAAAAUCUUACCAGAGUGGAGAGCUUUGUCUGUUGCCCUGAUGUAAAGAUACUUGAACUGAAUGGAAAUGACCCAGCGUAUCGGGUUGUCAACAUCAAUUUGAAAGGAUGUGUAACAAAACUCUGGAACAAUAUGUUCAAAAACCUAAGCAUUCACCCUGCAUCGUUUUUUGACAAUUCUGAAGCCCUCACUUCCAAGUCGCGGCCGAAUUGCUGUGUACCAGGCUGUUAUUAUGAGGGAGAAAGAAAGCAAACAACGAUGAAAUCUUUCUCAGAAACCAGUAAAUAUGAUUACCGAAAACCAUGCUGGUGGCAUUCAGAGCCCAUUAGAGCCAAGAAAGUAAAAGCGGCUCUAAAAUUUUGCAUAUUAGAUAAGAUUGCUGAGCCUAAAAUUUGUGAUAGUUUCUUAGUUGAACUGCAACACGUUUUAGCUAGAUUUCCAUUUACAGAUUUACACUUCUAUUGGGAUAUAUUGCGAGUCAUACAUGCUGAGAUUGAAGUACAUAAACGUACAAAAGGGUCAGUCGACGAAUGUAAGUACAAGAUCAAAACAGAGCAAUUGCACAUGCUUAGUUAUGCCAUUACCAGACUUAUUUUGCAGCUGUAUUUCAUCACCGGUGGAAAUCCUUUGCUACCUUUCAGAGGAACAAAAUCGUGUAGCCAGGCUCUCAAUUACCUCAAAGAGGAUUUUCCAGACCCGGUAACCGGCGAGUGUACCAUCAAACCAUUCCCACGUUUAGCCAGAUCUCGCCGUCGUAGUACACAGGAUGAUGCUAAUUCAGACAAAGGAUGCGGUUGCCUGCCUUUCGGCCUUUUCUCACGCGUCAUCGGUCUCUCCGGACCACAGGAAGGAAUUAGAUGCUUGACUUUAAAAGCUGAUAACUUUCCAGACGAAUUUACUUAUUUUGAUUUGAAGUCCUUAACAUAUUUAAUCUGUAAUUUAAACCGCAGUCUUCAACUGGAAUUCAUUAAAGGAUCAUCCGGGAAAUGUCAAGUUCCCAACUGUUCAUAUCCUGCACCAGUUAGGAAUGAACGAAUAAUAAAAGAAUUAAAAUCAAGUAUUCGUGCCAUUGAACAGCUACUUUUUUACCUACGGAGACUUAAUUCCUUCAAGCCAACAAUUUCCUCCAAAGUCAACGGCAACCAAUUACCCAGAGGCAUGCUUAGCAGUGCCAGCAUCGAAUGUAAGAGCACCUUAAAAAAUGGACGAAACCUCGCUGAAAUGAGGGGUGAAAAGGGAAUUGAAGUCGACGCAUAUCAAGUUAAGUGUCCUCCACAUCCUCACCAAGAUUUUCCAAUUGACUUUAGAUUUUGUUCUCCGGCGAGAGUAAAAAACUCAAGAAAACCCUGCAUUGAAAAUGAGAUAGAUGAUGGAUUAAAUUGUAAAAUUUCUUCUCAGUUGCGGUUGAAACAAAUUCCUCCAUCCAAAGGAGAAAAAGUAUUUGAUUCAUGCUUCACUGAACCAUCUAAAAUCAGCAGCACGAAACUGAAAUCAAAGAGGUCUCCGGAAGAGGCAAAUCGAUCGAGGUUAGGUGCCAGUUGCUGUUCUCCUCGUGUGACCGCAGAUGACUCUUGUGAGAAAUGCUAUCAAGUUAGUGAAGAUUUUCGGCAAUAUAUAUCAAAAAUCAGGGAGGAAAAAAGAAAAAAUCGAAAAAAGUCAACAGGCGCAUGCUCUGAUGGAGAAUGUGACUUUGCAUUUCAAGUGCAAAAAGCUCACCGCGAAAGGAAGAUAGGUGGCAAGUCAGAUGCAUGUAAAGUAACUUCUACAUCAAAUUUUUGUCGUAAAACGAAAGUAGAAGAUCGCAGCGCUCUUUUAUUGCGCUGUCAUCGAGAAUGCGUAACCGAAAAACAAUCGAAAUCAUCCACGACUAAACUAGGUAAUGAAAUAAAUCCCAACUCAACCCUUCUGAUGUGCGACCAGAACAAGGUUUUUACAAACACUGAAAAAGCCACAGACGAACUUCUGAAUUGCGAUCCAGCUCCCAAAUUAGAGGAGUGUAAAAAUAAGUGCAAUAAGCUGUGUUGUGAUGCUGAGUCAAAAUUUGUAGAGAUGGAUAGGUUGGCAAUCGCUUCCAAGAGUGGUGGAUGCUCUCCAUGUUCAUUCACAGCAUGUGAAGUUAAACGAAAGGCCUCUGUAGGGAUUCAAGUUUCAACUAGCCCCGAAAAUUCCUUUUGUAAUGGCCAAUCUGCAAAACUUAUAUCUGAUGGCUCAAACCCCGAUCGAGACAUGAUUGAACCGUCAAAGCCCACCAAAAUUAUCCAGUCAGAAUCAGUCAGACGAUCAGACAAUGCACGGUGCUCUUCAUUACCGUGUUUGCCUCUCAGUCCAGCACUUAGUCCGUUACGCUGUUCUGAGCUCCACCCAGAACUACUUGAAUCACUCUGCAAGAAAGCUUCAAAAGCUUCCAAGACCAUGCAGUUAGACUGCACGGAAUCAACGAAAUCAUACAAGUCUAAACGUGCUGGGCAAGACCGGGAAGCACCAUCGACGAAAUGCAGAACCCGUAGGUCAAGCUCUGAGGAUAACAUGAGAACAAACCAAAGUCAAGUCUGCGGGUUAGUUAAUCCUAGGAGUAUUAAUGUCUCCAGAAAAAUCUUGAAAGCAAUGUAG
This 2703-nucleotide long non-coding RNA is filed under the name Bemisia tabaci. RNAcentral describes it as "lncRNA ENSSSA1NGG009245". Lineage: Eukaryota; Metazoa; Arthropoda; Insecta; Hemiptera; Aleyrodidae. The record is from RNAcentral.